CGGCGAGUGAAGCGGGAUGAGCUCAAAUUUAAAAUCUGGCUGCCUCAGGUGGUCCGAGUUGUAGUCUCGAGAAGUGUUUUCCGCGUUGGCCUGUGUACAAGUCCUUUGGAAUAAGGCGUCAUAGAGGGUGAGAAUCCCGUCCUUGACACAGAUCCCCAAUGCUUUGUGAUGCGCUCUCAAAGAGUCGAGUUGUUUGGGAAUGCAGCUCAAAAUGGGUGGUAAAUUCCAUCUAAAGCUAAAUAUUGGCGAGAGACCGAUAGCGAACAAGUACCGUGAGGGAAAGAUGAAAAGCACUUUGGAAAGAGAGUUAAACAGUACGUGAAAUUGUUGAAAGGGAAACGAUUGAAGUCAGUCAUGCUCGUAGGGAUUCAGCCGGUUCUGCCGGUGUAUUUCCCUACUUGCAGGCCAGCAUCAGUUUUGACCCGGUGGAAAAGGUUGGAGGGAAUGUGGCAUCCUCGGAUGUGUUAUANCCCUCUUUCGCAUACAUCGG
This 490-nucleotide ribosomal RNA is filed under the name Itersonilia pastinacae. Its description in RNAcentral is "eukaryotic LSU rRNA". It matches the Rfam family "Eukaryotic large subunit ribosomal RNA", at positions 87 to 580 of the family's 3401-position model. The record is from RNAcentral. Lineage: Eukaryota; Fungi; Basidiomycota; Tremellomycetes; Cystofilobasidiales; Mrakiaceae.